GACGAACGCUGGCGGCGCGCCUAACACAUGCAAGUCGAACGGAGCUGAGAGAAGCUUGCUUUUCUUAGCUUAGUGGCGAACGGGUGAGUAACGCGUGAGUAACCUGCCCUGGAGUGGGGGACAACAGUUGGAAACGACUGCUAAUACCGCAUAAGCCCACGAUCCGGCAUCGGAUUGAGGGAAAAGGAUUUAUUCGCUUCAGGAUGGACUCGCGUCCAAUUAGCUAGUUGGUGAGGUAACGGCCCACCAAGGCGACGAUUGGUAGCCGGACUGAGAGGUUGAACGGACACAUUGGGACUGAGACACGGCCCAGACUCCUACGGGAAGCAGCAGUGGGGGAUAUUGCACAAUGGGGGAAAUCCUGAUGCAGCGACGCCGCGUGGAGGAAGAAGGUUUUCGGAUUGUAAACUCCUGUCGUGAGGGACGAUAAUGACGGUACCUAACAAGAAAGCACCGGCUAACUACGUG
RNAcentral lists this ribosomal RNA (468 nucleotides) under uncultured bacterium. RNAcentral describes it as "partial 16S ribosomal RNA". It matches the Rfam family "Bacterial small subunit ribosomal RNA", at positions 28 to 507 of the family's 1533-position model. The record is from RNAcentral.